This is a long non-coding RNA of Astatotilapia calliptera (eastern happy), 1027 nucleotides long. The record is from Ensembl. NCBI's taxonomy places the organism in Eukaryota, Metazoa, Chordata, Actinopteri, Cichliformes, Cichlidae.
AUUAUAUAUUGUAAGCUUGAAUAAUCUUUGUUUUAGCAAACCUACUGAGAGGAAUUGUUCGAUGUUAAAAAAUAGAUAAAUACAAUUAUAUUCUCAAUUGCUAUUUAGCAUACCCUAAAACACCUUUUUGGCUUGCCACAUUAUAAACCAAAGCAAUGUUUUAUUUUCUUAUGAAUACAUUUUUGAGCCAUCAAGGGGAAAAUAAUAACAAUAAAAAAAAAUAAAAAAAAAUAAAAAAGGAUACAAAGCAGGAAAAGCCCUUUCUUAUUUCUUAUUUCUUAUUCUGUCAACCAUCGCUUAACCUGUCAGAUUCUGUUUUUUAACUUCGCAUCUCUAUUAAGAACACCGGCAGUGAUGAUCUUUGUUUAUUGAUUUAUUUACACACUGAUUUACUGAUUUAAUUUUUUGUUUUGUUUAAUUUUUUCCGCUCCAUAAUGUGGCAGCUCCUAUGAGUCCUUAUAUGUUUUGUAUUUUUUUAUAUUCAGUCCCUUAAUUUUCCCAUCAGGCUACAUCUGACUCUUGACCUUUCUCCUGUAUAAUCAUGAGUAAAACGCUCUGUUAGCUGUUUACUCACCAGCUUUCCAAGCUCUAUGGCUGGGACUAAAUACACAAGGCAAUAUUGGGAUGGAUUAGAUGGUUUUUAUAAUUUGUUUCGUUUGCAAAUAAAGUAUAAGCUAAUACUAAUACUGUUUGUAAAUGUAAUUCAUAGAGCAGGUUUGUAUUCAAUGAGUUUAUGCUGGUUUAUUACUAGAAACUACAUUUCAAUGUUAGUUAUACUGUCAUUGAAUUUUACUAAUAAUUAUAAUCACAACUUUGAGCAAUUUUCAUCAUUUUUCUCUUGGGUGGCUGCAUGUAGUACUAUUUUUCACCUUCAUCUAACAAGGGAAAAAAGACACAAAUGCCUUCAGGGUUGUGUCAGGAAGGACAUCUGGCAUAAGAACUGUCCAGAUCAAACAUGUGGAGCCACCUGGUGAUCCUGUGUGAGUAAGGGAGCACACCAUUUUACAUACCUGUUCUUGUAAACUGC